AAAAGACAGCGAUAUUGGUGAGGUUCAAUCCGAAGACGGAUUUACAUAUGGGUUGUAAAAGACGAUCUCAGAUUGAGCCGCGCCAAUAUCACUCUCUACGUG
Molecule: non-coding RNA, 102 nt
Organism: Eucalyptus grandis
Lineage: Eukaryota; Viridiplantae; Streptophyta; Magnoliopsida; Myrtales; Myrtaceae
Source: Rfam